GAUGAACGCUGGCGGCGUGCUUAACACAUGCAAGUCGAACGAAGUGGAUGUCUUCGGACUGAAACUUAGUGGCGGACGGGUGAGUAACGCGUGGGUAACCUGCCUCGUACAGGGGGAUAACAGUUAGAAAUGACUGCUAAUACCGCAUAACCCGCUAAGGUCGCAUGACCUGGACGGAAAAGAUUUAUCGGUACGAGAUGGACCCGCGUCUGAUUAGCUAGUUGGUGAGGUAACGGCCCACCAAGGCGACGAUCAGUAGCCGACCUGAGAGGGUGAUCGGCCACAUUGGGACUGAGACACGGCCCAAACUCCUACGGGAGGCAGCAGUGGGGAAUAUUGCACAAUGGGGGAAACCCUGAUGCAGCAACGCCGCGUGAGUGAUGAAGUAUUUCGGUAUGUAAAGCUCUAUCAGCAGGGAAGAAAUUGACAGUACCUGACUAAGAANCCCCGGCUAACUACGUG
This 462-nucleotide ribosomal RNA is filed under the name uncultured bacterium. Its description in RNAcentral is "bacterial SSU rRNA". It matches the Rfam family "Bacterial small subunit ribosomal RNA", at positions 28 to 507 of the family's 1533-position model. The record is from RNAcentral.